GGCUGGUUAGCUCAGUGGGUUGAGCGUGGUGCUGACAACAACAGUAACACCAAAGUCGCGGGUUUGAUUCCCUCUCAGUCC
RNAcentral lists this transfer RNA (81 nucleotides) under Apaloderma vittatum (bar-tailed trogon). It matches the Rfam family "tRNA". Rfam says of the family: Transfer RNA (tRNA) molecules are approximately 80 nucleotides in length. Their secondary structure includes four short double-helical elements and three loops (D, anti-codon, and T loops). Further hydrogen bonds mediate the characteristic L-shaped molecular structure. tRNAs have two regions of fundamental functional importance: the anti-codon, which is responsible for specific mRNA codon recognition, and the 3' end, to which the tRNAs corresponding amino acid is attached (by aminoacyl-tRNA synthetases). tRNAs cope with the degeneracy of the genetic code in two manners: having more than one tRNA (with a specific anti-codon) for a particular amino acid; and 'wobble' base-pairing, i.e. permitting non-standard base-pairing at the 3rd anti-codon position. The record is from Rfam by way of RNAcentral. Lineage: Eukaryota; Metazoa; Chordata; Aves; Trogoniformes; Trogonidae.